This 230-nucleotide long non-coding RNA is filed under the name Malus domestica (apple). RNAcentral's name for it is "long non-coding RNA (MDOM_LNC019945)". The record is from RNAcentral. Lineage: Eukaryota; Viridiplantae; Streptophyta; Magnoliopsida; Rosales; Rosaceae.
AGUCUCUUCAAAAGUUCGUGUCAUAAGGCUCGCAAUGCGCACCCUAUAUUUCUUCUUCCAACGUUCAUCAUUUCCACAAUGAAAGCAUGUUCCUUUGGAUUUCUUUGCCUUCUUCUAUGCAACCUUUUCCUUGUGAUUGCAUUCUCACUCCCACUGUCCCUUUUGAAACCUUUUUCAAAUUUACAGCACAUGUCAAUCAUCUCGUUUAAAGAAUGAUCGAAUCUAUUCAC